AAGGAAAAACUAAGUAACGGAGGGCGUUUAAAAGCGACUUGAUUUUAGGAAACCAAGGCAGUAUGCUUGCAUACAAGGUGGUUUAUCUAAAUCACAAGCUUUUAGCCCGAGUACAAUUUAGCCGAUAAGGUUAAUGGUACCCUUAUUUAGCUACGGAAGCACGUUUUGGGGAGUGUCUAUUUAGUUUUCAGAGGUUUUGUGGGGCCUUAGCUCAGCUGGGAGAGCGCCUGCUUUGCACGCAGGAGGUCAGCGGUUCGAUCCCGCUAGGCUCCAUUAUCUAGGAUACAAAGAGAUGUUCGGCUUGCCGAAAUUUCUGUAGAAAAAUAGGAAAUCGACGCAGUGUGUCUUGCACACAAGGAGAUUUAUCUUUUUUCCUAAGAAAUUAAUCUCGUGUUCAACUAGAUAAGCUGAUAUUAGAAUACGAUCCUAAACUUUCUAGGAAUAAGUCAAAACCACCUAGUGUCUUAGCGACACGUCGUUGGUUGUCUCCUUAUUCUACGCAAGUUUUGCGACAGGUCGCACCGGAUCUUGAUAUCAUGCACUUGUCCAUUGACAAUUGAAUAUCUAUCAAAUAGUAACAAGAAAAUAAACCGAAACGCUGUAAAUAUUUAAUGAGUUAAUUAAU
This 625-nucleotide transfer RNA is filed under the name Streptococcus criceti. RNAcentral's name for it is "16S-23S ribosomal RNA intergenic spacer". The stretch from base 201 to 273 matches the Rfam family "tRNA". Lineage: Bacteria; Bacillati; Bacillota; Bacilli; Lactobacillales; Streptococcaceae. The record is from RNAcentral.